Molecule: transfer RNA, 90 nt
Filed under: Streptomyces nojiriensis
Lineage: Bacteria; Bacillati; Actinomycetota; Actinomycetes; Kitasatosporales; Streptomycetaceae
Description: tRNA-Arg
Source: RNAcentral
GGGUGCUGGGCGGCUGGGCGGCCGAGGGUUCCUGGUCCUGGCGGGACGCGGAACGGGUGGCCGCCCUGGUCGCGGCGGGCAACGCCCGCC